This 506-nucleotide ribosomal RNA is filed under the name uncultured bacterium. RNAcentral describes it as "partial 16S ribosomal RNA". It matches the Rfam family "Bacterial small subunit ribosomal RNA", at positions 30 to 523 of the family's 1533-position model. The record is from RNAcentral.
AUUGAACGCUGGCGGCAGGCCUAACACAUGCAAGUCGAACGGUAGCACAGAGGAGCUUGCUCCUUGGGUGACGAGUGGCGGACGGGUGAGUAAUGUCUGGGAAACUGCCCGAUGGAGGGGGAUAACUACUGGAAACGGUAGCUAAUACCGCAUAACGUCGCAAGACCAAAGAGGGGGACCUUCGGGCUUCUUGCCAUCGGAUGUGCCCAGAUGGGAUUAGCUAGUAGGUGGGGUAACGGCUCACCUAGGCGACGAUCCCUAGCUGGUCUGAAGGGACGAACCGCCACACUGGAACUGAGACACGGUCCAGACUCCUACGGGAGGCAGCAGUGGGUAAUAUUGCACAAUGGGCGCAAGCCUGAUUCAGCCAUGCCGCGUGUAGGAAGAAGGCCUUCGGGUUGUAAAGUACUUUCAGCGAGGAGGAAGGCGUUGUGGUUAAUAACCGCAGCGAUUGACGUUACUCGCAGAAGAAGCACCGGCUAACUCCGUGCCAGCCGCCGCCGUAA